ACUUAGUGGCGGACGGGUGAGUAACGCGUGGGUAACUGACCUCACACAGGGGGAUAACAGUUGGAAACGGCUGCUAAUACCGCAUAACCCGCUAGUACCGCAUGGUACAGACGGAAAAGAUUUAUCGGUGUGAGACAGACCCGCGUCUGAUUAGGCAGUUGGCAGGGUAACGGCCUACCAAACCGACGAUUAGUAGCCGGCCUGAGAGGGUGGACGGCCACAUUGGGACUGAGACACGGCCCAAACUCCUACGGAAGGCAGCAG
This 264-nucleotide ribosomal RNA is filed under the name uncultured bacterium. RNAcentral describes it as "partial 16S ribosomal RNA". It matches the Rfam family "Bacterial small subunit ribosomal RNA", at positions 90 to 354 of the family's 1533-position model. The record is from RNAcentral.